This 1054-nucleotide unclassified non-coding RNA is filed under the name Hevea brasiliensis (rubber tree). Lineage: Eukaryota; Viridiplantae; Streptophyta; Magnoliopsida; Malpighiales; Euphorbiaceae. The record is from RNAcentral.
AGUAGAAUUCUUGAACAGGUCCAAGCAGCAUUCUUUUGCAAGUCCUCUGUUCCAAAAUUUCUCAUAGUAUUCUGCGUAUGUAAAAUGCUUGUAAACUGCUGGAUGAUCAUGGUCAAUCAACUCCUUAGCAGGCCCUAUCACUGCAUCAGGUGAAGGACAAUAGAACGUCGGAAUAGAUAGUCUCUCUUUGUCACUGUUCACCACUGCUCUGUGAAGAACGCUCUUGUACCGAUCAUUGCUAAUGACCUGCAUUUGAUCACCGAUAUUGACGAUGAAGGUAUUGGGAAUGGGAUUAACAGCGACCCAUUUGCCAUUUCUCAGAACCUGCAAUCCGGGCACUUGAUCCUGCAGAAGAAUGGUGAUUAGAUUGGGGUCAGUAUGUCCAGGCAGUCCAUAAGUUAGCUCUGGCUGUGGGCAGGGGGGAUAAUAGUUAAUGGCCAUGUGCUGUCCAUGCUUGCUUAAUGCCUUGUCUAUGUAAUCUCUUUCCAAGCCUAAGCUUUCUGAUAUGGCUUCAAGCAGUGUCAGCACUAGCGCUCGAACUCUCGAGCAAUAUUCAGCCACAUUCUUCCUGAAAGAUGGAGGAUUGGAAGGCCAUUCUUGGAUGUAAUCCUCAAGUGGGUAACAGUGGAGUCUCAAGAAGUCUCUCCAGUUGGAUACCUUUUCGGUCUUGACAUUGAAACUGGUAGAGAGCCUGGUGGUUUUGGUAGGGUCGUCGGAGUAACUCUUUAGUCUCUCGCUUUCAGGUAAUUUGAAGAAAUCUAUCGCCGUGCGCAAUAUGGUAUUGAUCAUAUCCUCCGGUAUUCCAUGGCUCUUGAUCUGAAAGAAACCAUCAAACUGGCAAGCUCGGCCAAUCUGGGCUAUAACAAGAGAGUGAUUAGGACCGUGAAGGUCCUGGAGGUCUAUAAGAGGAAUGGAGGCGUCGGACAUCUUAACGUCGGAGAGAUUUGGACGGUCGGAGAUGGGACGGAUGUAGUUGGACGGAACAUGAUUGACACCCAAGGAUGCAAGGUCAGCCAGCAGUGGCUUAGAGGAAGCCAUUAGAAUUGAUUUUUGU